AUUGAACGCUGGCGGCAUGCUUUACACAUGCAAGUCGAACGGUAACAGGGUGCUUGCACCGCUGACGAGUGGCGAACGGGUGAGUAAUGCGUCGGAACGUGCCGAGUAGUGGGGGAUAACGCAGCGAAAGUUGUGCUAAUACCGCAUACGUACUGAGGUAGAAAGUGGGGGACCUUCGGGCCUCACGCUAUUCGAGCGGCCGACGUCUGAUUAGCUAGUAGGUGAGGUAAAGGCUCACCUAGGCGACGAUCAGUAGCGGGGCUGAGAGGAUGAUCCGCAAAACUGGGACUGAGACACGGCUCAGACUCCUACGGGAGGCAGCAGUGGGGAAUUUUGGACAAUGGGCGAAAGCCUGAUCCGGCCAUGCCGCGUGUCUGAAGAAGGCCUUCGGGUUGUAAAGGACUUUUGUCAGGGAGGAAAUCCCUAGUGCUAAUAACACUGGGGGAUGACAGUACCUGAAGAAUAAGCACCGGCUAACUACGUGCCAGCCGCCGCCGUAA
Molecule: ribosomal RNA, 500 nt
Filed under: uncultured bacterium
Lineage: Bacteria
Description: partial 16S ribosomal RNA
Rfam family: Bacterial small subunit ribosomal RNA
Source: RNAcentral